UCAGUUUGAUGAUGGUAGGAAUGUGAUGAUGGUUGGAGAGACCAACUCAUAUGGAGUUGGGUUUGGUGGGAGAGGAGUAAUGGUCGAGAAUAUUUGAUAUAUUUAACAUAUAAAAAUUCUGGCAUCAUCAUGUUGUCAUAUUUGAUCAUGAAUAAUCGCCAUGCAUGGACAAUAUUUAGUAUUGUUUAAAGAUAUUAAGAAAUGGGUGUACAAUUGUUGUUUUACCCAUUGUGUAAGCAUUACGACAUAAGAUGAGGCUUAGAUGAAUUAGGCGGGGUGGUAGUUGUUGAUUUUGUCUAGUUGACUACUUUCGCCAUCUCAAUAUACGUAAUGAUAGAUCAAUUUCUCGAAAAUUUAUAGUGACUCAUCAUUGUCAGUAGCUAGCCAAAUAUACGUAUAAACAAUAAAUUAAAGUCUUAGAAAAUUUUGUAACUGUACGUGGAAUUAUACAAAUAUAAAAGAAACGAAUGUAAUAUAAUUUUAUGAGGAGAAGAGUCAAUAUAAAUGGCAAACUCAUAGUUGUUGAGAAAAAAAAAAUGGCAAACUCAUGAGUGGUGACUGGUGAGGUAGGUGGGAAAGAUUUAUGAAGAGUGUUAGGUGGCGUCAAAAGGUGACCCAUGUCGGGGGCGAAUCUAGAAAAAUAUCUUAUAUGGAGCACGAUAUAUUUUUACAUGCGAAUGAUUUAAAAUA
RNAcentral lists this long non-coding RNA (690 nucleotides) under Brassica napus (rape). Its description in RNAcentral is "long non-coding RNA (BNAP_LNC013963)". Lineage: Eukaryota; Viridiplantae; Streptophyta; Magnoliopsida; Brassicales; Brassicaceae. The record is from RNAcentral.